CUCUCUCAGAUCUUGUUUAUCUCAUUUUGUUCAGAAAUUAAGGUUUAUUGACAUAAAGUUAAAGGGUUUCAAAAAUUUCCUCUUCGGUCAUACUUGGAUCUCUGCCAUAUAUUUUUCUUUGACUCGAGUCAUACUCCUCCUACAUAUAAGAAAUAAAUGAGUUUUGAAAGACAAUGAAAUAAUUAAACACACACUGAUAUACACAGUAGUGUAUCUAGGAUUCUCCGGCAGGGGGGCAAGAUAUUCGCUGAAGGCGAAAAAUUUUUUUUGUACUAAUUAAAAAACCUAUACAAAUUUUGGCAUGACCUAUUCAUAUAAUUGAUUAUAAAAACUUAUAAAAAAUCAAUACAUUCAUUCCAUAAUUAAUAUUCAAAUUAAAAAUAAAUACAUUCAUUUAAUUAACAAUAAAAAUUUUAAAUACAUUUUACAUUACUUCAAUGUCCAACGACGAGGACACAUAUAAUUAAUAGCAUAUUCACUGUAAUUAUUGUGUACAUUUAGUACACCAAAAGUCUAGAACUGGUUCACAUUAUUGAUGAAGGAUAAUCAAUAUAACAUUCAUGAAUCCAAAUGAUCGAAUUCUAAAUAAAGCAAAUCUUCUUAGGUUUCAAUUUCCAGAAAUAUCAUAAGUUGGCAAAAAAGGAAGAACUACCUAAAGAAAAUAAAAUGAUUUAUAAGCGAUAAGAUAGAAGAAAUCAAAACAAUAUGGGCACUAGUAGAACCAAAAUGAUUAUCUGCAAAGAAAUUGCGAUGAAAUUAAAUCGAAUAAAAUGUCUAAGAACCAAAAAAAAAGAAUAAAUCGUUAAGAUUUUCAUCUCACCAAUAUCAUGCUAUACAUCGAUUUGCUUUCGUAGGUAUUAUAUAGUUUGGGUAAAAAAGGGAUGAUUAGAUAUGAUAAUGUGUCGUAAUAUUAAAGGAAAAAAAAAAUGUAAGCAGAGUUAUUGGGUUUCAUAGAUUUGUGAUCAAACUAUUUUAAUUUUUAAUUCCAAAUGAACAUAAAAAAAAUUAAUUUGGACUUUGGAGGUAGAUAAAAUCUGGCAAACCUGGUUGUGUCCAACGUUCCAGAGUCAAGACAUGGAGAAUAGUAGAAACAACAAACAAGAUCAACAAUUCAACAAAUAAAUACCAGAGAAUCCAACAAGUAGCAACGGAGGGAGAAGUGGAGAAGAGAUUCCCGGAGUCCGGAGAAGAGAGUCCCGAAGUGGAGAAGAUGGAUUUAGG
This 1221-nucleotide long non-coding RNA is filed under the name Zostera marina. Its description in RNAcentral is "long non-coding RNA (ZMAR_LNC003864)". The record is from RNAcentral. Lineage: Eukaryota; Viridiplantae; Streptophyta; Magnoliopsida; Alismatales; Zosteraceae.